RNAcentral lists this ribosomal RNA (490 nucleotides) under uncultured Leptosphaerulina. RNAcentral's name for it is "eukaryotic LSU rRNA". The stretch from base 129 to 282 matches the Rfam family "5.8S ribosomal RNA". The record is from RNAcentral. Lineage: Eukaryota; Fungi; Ascomycota; Dothideomycetes; Pleosporales; Pleosporaceae.
GGCACUUUUUAAUCCAUAUCCACCUUGUGUGCAAUGUCGGUCGCUCUCAUUCAUGGGAGCGGCCAAACAUCAACCUAUUCUUGAACUCUUUGUCUGAAAAAUAUUAUGAAUAAAAUAAUUCAAAAUACAACUUUCAACAACGGAUCUCUUGGCUCUCGCAUCGAUGAAGAACGCAGCGAAAUGCGAUACGUAAUGUGAAUUGCAGAAUUCAGUGAAUCAUCGAAUCUUUGAACGCAUAUUGCGCUCUUUGGUAUUCCAUGGGGCAUGCCUGUUCGAGCGUCAUUUGUACCUUCAAGCUUUGCUUGGUGUUGGGUGUUUGUCUCGCCUUUGCGUGUAGACUCGCCUCAAAACAAUUGGCAGCCGGCGUAUUGAUUUCGGAGCGCAGUACAUCUCGCGCUUUGCACUCAUAACGACGACGUCCAAAAGUACAUUUUUACACUCUUGACCUCGGAUCAGGUAGGGAUACCCGCUGAACUUAAGCAUAUCAAUA